This is a long non-coding RNA of Lagopus leucura (white-tailed ptarmigan), 456 nucleotides long. RefSeq lists it as uncharacterized. The record is from RefSeq and is a predicted model, not a curated record. The transcript has 4 exons. Lineage: Eukaryota; Metazoa; Chordata; Aves; Galliformes; Phasianidae.
GCCCCGGGCUUUCGAAACGUGCCGGCUGACAGCGCGGAGCUGCCUUCCUCCUGCUCUUAGCGAGCCUGGAAUCACCACAGAAAGGUUUAACGCUAAGAGUCUCUGAGGCGUUCAAGGUUUUUCCCAGACAAGAUGCCUUCUCAGACAAAAUUUGAAGUCCUGCUGGAAAGCGGAGGAGAUGAAAUACCUUACCUGCCAAAAUUCUUCCGAAGGGUAGCAGGAAGCUCACAUGCUCUCAGCGCACAUCUUCAGCAAAAAGUGUGCACAGCCAGUACAUAAUGGAAUAAUGGAAGAUAGAUCCAUCUGAAAAAGGCCUCAGGAGGUCAUCUUUGCCAUUAUCUUAUCUCCAGGCAGGACUGACCUCUACUUCAGAUUUGAAACAGGAUCUACCAUCUGGCUGCAGCCUGCUGUGUGUACUGCGAUUGGAGGGCUAGCUGUGGAGAUGCUCCAUUCGUG